RNAcentral lists this ribosomal RNA (253 nucleotides) under uncultured bacterium. Its description in RNAcentral is "partial 16S ribosomal RNA". It matches the Rfam family "Bacterial small subunit ribosomal RNA", at positions 524 to 776 of the family's 1533-position model. The record is from RNAcentral.
UACGUAGGGGGCAAGCGUUGUCCGGAAUCAUUGGGCGUAAAGAGCGUGUAGGCGGCCCGGUAAGUCCGCUGUGAAAGUCGGGGGCUCAACCCUCGAAUGCCGGUGGAUACUGUCGGGCUAGAGUGCGGAAGAGGCGAGUGGAAUUCCUGGUGUAGCGGUGAAAUGCGCAGAUAUCAGGAGGAACACCAAUUGCGAAGGCAGCUCGCUGGGACGUAACUGACGCUGAGACGCGAAAGCGUGGGGAUCAAACAGG